AUUGAACGCUGGCGGCAGGCCUAACACAUGCAAGUCGAGCGGAUGAAGGGAGCUUGCUCCUGGAUUCAGCGGCGGACGGGUGAGUAAUGCCUAGGAAUCUGCCUGGUAGUGGGGGAUAACGUCCGGAAACGGGCGCUAAUACCGCAUACGUCCUGAGGGAGAAAGUGGGGGAUCUUCGGGCCUCACGCUAUCAGAUGAGCCUAGGUCGGAUUAGCUAGUUGGUGGGGUAAAGGCCUACCAAGGCGACGAUCCGUAACUGGUCUGAGAGGAUGAUCAGUCACACUGGAACUGAGACACGGUCCAGACUCCUACGGGAGGCAGCAGUGGGGAAUAUUGGACAAUGGGCGAAAGCCUGAUCCGGCCAUGCCGCGUGUGUGAAGAAGGUCUUCGGAUUGUAAAGCACUUUAAGUUGGGAGGAAGGGCAGUAAGUUAAUACCUUGCUGUUUUGACGUUACCAACAGAAUAAGCACCGGCUAACUUCGUG
This 484-nucleotide ribosomal RNA is filed under the name uncultured bacterium. RNAcentral describes it as "partial 16S ribosomal RNA". It matches the Rfam family "Bacterial small subunit ribosomal RNA", at positions 30 to 507 of the family's 1533-position model. The record is from RNAcentral.